This 810-nucleotide unclassified non-coding RNA is filed under the name Melitaea cinxia (Glanville fritillary). RNAcentral's name for it is "misc RNA ENSMCXG00005009721.1". The record is from RNAcentral. Lineage: Eukaryota; Metazoa; Arthropoda; Insecta; Lepidoptera; Nymphalidae.
UAUGUCUAGCAGUGAACUGCAAUAGGCUGGAAUCAUGAUGAUGAUCUUCUGUAAGGUCGAGGUACUUGCCCAGUCGGGCUGCUUUAAAUUUUGAAGUGAUUAAUCAUCCUGAGUUUGAGCUUGUUAAUUUUUGCUGUGCCCUUACUAAUUACUGGUAUCGGUUCACUUUUUUGUAACUCGGCGUGCAGAACUCACUAACUAUAAUAUAGCCAAUUGACUAAAGGGGUACGAACCUUUGUGGCAUAUCUAGCCGCCGCCAUCUUGGUUUUUUUUUCAAAAUUUCCGAGUACGGUAAAAGGUAUUUUCAAACUUUCAUUGGGCGACUGCUAAGAAUAUUUUGCGACUUUCGACCAUAGAUGGGGCGACUUGAAUCAAAACUUUCUGGCAAGCCUGUCGGGCGGCGGCCAAUAGACGACGACUACUUAAGCUCGUCAGGUCGCGUGUAGAAGUCCGGCCGCCGCCGCGUUAUUUAGUAAAAGACAUUACUUCUAUUGUGAUGUAAACGUGAUGGUUGUAAGCCGGGACCGCGGCCCUCUGCGCGCCUCGCUCGAGCGCUUGUUACAGACCGUUAGGGAAAUGUUUGUUACGAUGAUUCGUUGUUAUAGUUUAAAGAGAGCGAGGCUGGAAGGGUCGCGGCUCGCGGCUCGCGAGGACUUGCUUCCUGUACUGUAUUUUAUGUUCCAUUAAAUAAAUUGGGUUAAGAUUUCUUUUUUGUUUUCUUUACACUCCUACUAGCUGUGCUGACUUCGUUAGAUCGCAGUUUGCGUUGUUCAGUUCGCAGAGGUAUAAAAUAAGUAUAUUCCGUAUUUU